This 397-nucleotide ribosomal RNA is filed under the name Ailuronyx seychellensis. RNAcentral describes it as "partial 12S ribosomal RNA". It matches the Rfam family "Bacterial small subunit ribosomal RNA", at positions 794 to 1388 of the family's 1533-position model. The record is from RNAcentral. Lineage: Eukaryota; Metazoa; Chordata; Lepidosauria; Squamata; Gekkonidae.
GCUUAGCCAUAAACNUAGUCCGCGCAGCAACCCCACGGACCGCCAGAGAAUUACAAGCGAAAAGCUCGAAACUCAAAGGAUUUGACGGUGUCCCACAUCACACUAGAGGAGCCUGUCCUAUAAUCGAUACCCCACGCUAAACCUUACCCCUACUAGCAAAAUCAGCCUAUAUACCGCCGUCGCAAGCCUACCUCAUGAGAGCCCUACCAAAAUAGGCAAACCAGCACCCUCACUAAAACGUCAGGUCAAGGUGUAGCUAAUGUAGGGGCAGAGAUGGGCUACAUUUUCUCCCCAGAGAACACACCAUAGACCGACAUGAAAACACCGACCAAAGGCGGAUUUAGCAGUAAGCCAGGACCAACUUGCCUGCCUGAACCGUGCUCUGGGACGCGUACAC